UAGCAAGGCAGAACUUAGGUAGGCAGGGAAAUCUAGACUGCUGGAAGAAUAAAGGUCAGAGACAGAGAGAAGACAUGGAGCUGCCAUCGGACACAGAAGCUGGAACUUCACCAGGAGAGAUUCAACUAUGACAUUUGUACAGGAUCCCUUCACCGCGUUUGACCCCCACAAUCCCGUACACGUACUCAAACUUCGGCUGUUCCACUGACUCUCCACAGAACAGAGAAAACUUGCCAACAAAACAGCCUCAAUUUUCUGUAGAAAAAGCCCAGUUAUUUUAGUACAGUUUAAUUUUUAAAAACAAAUGGGGAGUUUCAAUCAGACAUCCCCCCCCCCUUUUUACUUUAGGUCUUGAAAGACUUUAGUAAAUUGCUCAGUCUGGC
Myodes glareolus (Bank vole) is the source of this 383-nucleotide non-coding RNA. NCBI's taxonomy places the organism in Eukaryota, Metazoa, Chordata, Mammalia, Rodentia, Cricetidae. The record is from RefSeq and is a predicted model, not a curated record.